GACGGGGCCGCACAAGCGGUGGAGCAUGUGGUUUAAUUCGACGCAACGCGAAGAACCUUUACCAGGAAUUGACAUCCCCUGACAACUUAUGAAAGUAGGUCUUCUACCUUCGGGUAGACAGGGAGACAGGUGGUGCAUGGUUGUCGUCAGCUCGUGUCGUGAGAUGUUGGGUUAAGUCCCGCAACGAGCGCAACCCUUACGGUUAGUUGCCAGCGGUUAAAGCCGGGCACUCUAGCUGAACUGCCGUUGACAAAAACGGAGGAAGGUGGGGAUGACGUCAAAUCAUCAUGCCCUUUAUAUCCUGGGCUACACACGUGCUACAAUGGCCUGUACAGAGGGCAGCGAAGGGGCAACCUGGAGCGAAUCCCAAAAAGCAGGUCUCAGUUCGGAUUGCAGGCUGCAACUCGCCUGCAUGAAGUCGGAAUCGCUAGUAAUCGCAGGUCAGCAUACUGCGGUGAAUACGUUCCCGGGCCUU
Molecule: ribosomal RNA, 475 nt
Filed under: uncultured Desulfotomaculum sp.
Lineage: Bacteria; Bacillati; Bacillota; Clostridia; Eubacteriales; Desulfotomaculaceae
Description: bacterial SSU rRNA
Rfam family: Bacterial small subunit ribosomal RNA
Source: RNAcentral